Molecule: transfer RNA, 66 nt
Filed under: Hasemania nana
Lineage: Eukaryota; Metazoa; Chordata; Actinopteri; Characiformes; Acestrorhamphidae
Description: tRNA-Ser
Source: RNAcentral
GAGAGAGGUAUGAUACAGCAGAAACUGCUAACUUUUGCAUCCGCGGCUAAAUUCCGCGGCUCACUC